CAAAUACAAAUAGAGAACACACGUCAUUGAUUGAACACAACCACUCAAAAUUGAUUUAACCUGUUUCAAAUGAUGCGACACAACCAAUAUAAGCCAGUUCAGAGAGCAAACAGGUUGUUGAAGGUGGGAAGGAGAAAGUCUGAGAAUGGAUAGAAGAAACAAUGUGAGAGGACGAGUGCGAAUGCGAGGUGGGCGACGAGGAGGAAGAGGAGGAGGAGGGCAAGAAAGAGGAAGAGGAGGACGAAGAGGAAGAGGAAGACAAAGAGUGGAAAUAUCUGCUGGAAUUUGAGCAACAGUUAUAGACCAUGUUCUUGUCCAUGGACUGACAAUGAGGGAAGCAGGACGUAGAGUGCAACCCAAUUUGAGCCGAUUUUCUGUGUCCACCAUAGUAAGGACAUUCAGAGAAGAGAACAGAAUUGCAAGGCUGCCACAUGCAGGUGGAAGGACAGCUAUAUUCAAUCGGGAGCAAGAGGCCGUUAUAGUUGGCAUGGUCCUUCAAGAUAAUGCAAUUACGACUCAGAGAAAUCCAGGAAUGAGUGAUACAAGACAACACACACUUCCAGGGAAUCGACAGUGUGAGCAUUUCCACAAUUGACCGUGUCCUCCAUCGUAACAGGAUGCGAAUGAAACAAGUAUACAGAGUACCUUUUGAGCGCAACUCACCAAGGGUGAAAGAACUGCGAGCUCAGUAUGUGCAAACAAUAUUUGACUUGGAAUCCUUGGACAGACCCCAUGAGUUCAUCUUUGUCGAUGAAGCAGGCUUCAAUCUAACAAAGAGGAGAAGGAGAGGCCGAAACAUGAUUGGACAGCGGGCCAUUGUUGAAGUCCCUGGUCAACGAGGUGGCAAUGUCACAAUCUGUGCUGCUAUCAGCAACCAUGGUGUUCUACAUCACCAUGUUACACUCGGGCCAUAUAACACCCAGCACCUUCUAAGAUGUAUUGCCAAUCUAAGAGAUAUUUUAUUUGAGCAGCAGGUUCAAGAGCAGCAGGGUCAAGAGCUAAAUGAGAAUCCCAUUCCCACCUAUGUGAUAGUGUGGGACAAUGUCAGUUUCCACCGAGCUGCUCAGGUAAGGGAAUGGUUUAACAUCAAUGGGCAGUUUAUGAACUUGUACCACCCUCCAUACUCGCCUUUCCUGAAUCCGAUUGAGGAGUUUUUCUCCUCUUGGAGAUGGAAAGUGUAUGAUAGACAACCCUACACUAGAGUAAAUCUGCUGCAAGCCAUGGAUUUAGCCUGUGGUGAUAUAGGUGAGGAAUCAUGUCAGGGCUGGAUACGGCACACAAGAGGCUUCUUCCCCCGUUGCCUCAGGAGGGACAAUAUUGCUUGUGAUAUCGAGGAAGUGCUCUGGCCUGAACCAGCCCAAAGACAAGAAGAAGCACAUUGAUCACAUGUUUACUCCUUUGAUUUUUGUCCCUUUUACUAUUGUAUACUGUAGUACAAUGCAUUGUAGGCUGUAUACUGUACAAUGGACAAAUUGUAUGGCCCUGAACAUUGUGCUUUCCAUUUAUUAACAGUACUGACUGCUCAAUAGAUUUUGACUGGUUGCAGGUUCAUAUCAACAAAGAACAAGAAUUACAGUAUCACAGAGACAAAGGACAAGUUUUUGAGAUGCAGGGUACAGUACUGUAAAAAUAGGGGUACAAGGAGGAGGAAGAACAAAAAACAAAAUUGCAAAGAGCAAAGCAGAGUAGUAAUUUCUGAUCAAUUUUGAGCUACUAUGAUAGAACGUUGUUUUCGUUCAUCAAAAGACAAUGAUGGAAAAAUAUGAAUAUUUUUUUUAGAUUAAAAAUGUACUUCUCCCUG
RNAcentral lists this long non-coding RNA (1801 nucleotides) under Salmo salar (Atlantic salmon). RNAcentral's name for it is "lncRNA (ENSSSAG00000099839.1)". The record is from RNAcentral. Lineage: Eukaryota; Metazoa; Chordata; Actinopteri; Salmoniformes; Salmonidae.